GAAAACAACUGCAAAGUACUUAGACUUCGAAUUUGAAAUUGUGCCGUAUUAUAAUGCGAUGAAGUUAUAAUAAAGCAAUCAUUACUGGUAAUGGUCACUUGUCGUGUAUAAUUCUUUAUCAUACUUUUAUACAGGAAUCACAAAAAGAAUCAUGCUUUGAGCUAUUAAUGAAAAUUGAAAUUCUUCGAGAAAACCAAACCAAAUUAUUCAUCAACAGCAUGGU
This 223-nucleotide long non-coding RNA is filed under the name Mytilus galloprovincialis (Mediterranean mussel). The record is from RNAcentral. Lineage: Eukaryota; Metazoa; Mollusca; Bivalvia; Mytilida; Mytilidae.